RNAcentral lists this ribosomal RNA (1595 nucleotides) under Salmonella enterica subsp. enterica serovar Enteritidis. Its description in RNAcentral is "partial 23S ribosomal RNA". It matches the Rfam family "Bacterial large subunit ribosomal RNA", at positions 1223 to 2802 of the family's 2925-position model. Lineage: Bacteria; Pseudomonadati; Pseudomonadota; Gammaproteobacteria; Enterobacterales; Enterobacteriaceae. The record is from RNAcentral.
GUUGGGUAGGGGAGCGUUCUGUAAGCCUGCGAAGGUGGCCUGUGAGGGUUGCUGGAGGUAUCAGAAGUGCGAAUGCUGACAUAAGUAACGAUAAAGCGGGUGAAAAGCCCGCUCGCCGGAAGACCAAGGGUUCCUGUCCAACGUUAAUCGGGGCAGGGUGAGUCGACCCCUAAGGCGAGGCCGAAAGGCGUAGUCGAUGGGAAACGGGUUAAUAUUCCCGUACUUGGUGUUACUGCGAAGGGGGGACGGAGAAGGCUAUGUUGGCCGGGCGACGGUUGUCCCGGUUUAAGCGUGUAGGCUGGUUUUCCAGGCAAAUCCGGAAAAUCAAGGCUGAGGCGUGAUGACGAGGCACUACGGUGCUGAAGCAACAAAUGCCCUGCUUCCAGGAAAAGCCUCUAAGCAUCAGGUAACAUCAAAUCGUACCCCAAACCGACACAGGUGGUCAGGUAGAGAAUACCAAGGCGCUUGAGAGAACUCGGGUGAAGGAACUAGGCAAAAUGGUGCCGUAACUUCGGGAGAAGGCACGCUGACACGUAGGUGAAGUGAUUUACUCAUGGAGCUGAAGUCAGUCGAAGAUACCAGCUGGCUGCAACUGUUUAUUAAAAACACAGCACUGUGCAAACACGAAAGUGGACGUAUACGGUGUGACGCCUGCCCGGUGCCGGAAGGUUAAUUGAUGGGGUCAGCGCAAGCGAAGCUCCUGAUCGAAGCCCCGGUAAACGGCGGCCGUAACUAUAACGGUCCUAAGGUAGCGAAAUUCCUUGUCGGGUAAGUUCCGACCUGCACGAAUGGCGUAAUGAUGGCCAGGCUGUCUCCACCCGAGACUCAGUGAAAUUGAACUCGCUGUGAAGAUGCAGUGUACCCGCGGCAAGACGGAAAGACCCCGUGAACCUUUACUAUAGCUUGACACUGAACAUUGAGCCUUGAUGUGUAGGAUAGGUGGGAGGCUUUGAAGUGUGGACGCCAGUCUGCAUGGAGCCGACCUUGAAAUACCACCCUUUAAUGUUUGAUGUUCUAACGUGGACCCGUUACCCGGGUUGCGGACAGUGUCUGGUGGGUAGUUUGACUGGGGCGGUCUCCUCCUAAAGAGUAACGGAGGAGCACGAAGGUUGGCUAAUCCUGGUCGGACAUCAGGAGGUUAGUGCAAUGGCAUAAGCCAGCUUGACUGCGAGCGUGACGGCGCGAGCAGGUGCGAAAGCAGGUCAUAGUGAUCCGGUGGUUCUGAAUGGAAGGGCCAUCGCUCAACGGAUAAAAGGUACUCCGGGGAUAACAGGCUGAUACCGCCCAAGAGUUCAUAUCGACGGCGGUGUUUGGCACCUCGAUGUCGGCUCAUCACAUCCUGGGGCUGAAGUAGGUCCCAAGGGUAUGGCUGUUCGCCAUUUAAAGUGGUACGCGAGCUGGGUUUAGAACGUCGUGAGACAGUUCGGUCCCUAUCUGCCGUGGGCGCUGGAGAACUGAGGGGGGCUGCUCCUAGUACGAGAGGACCGGAGUGGACGCAUCACUGGUGUUCGGGUUGUCAUGCCAAUGGCACUGCCCGGUAGCUAAAUGCGGAAGAGAUAAGUGCUGAAAGCAUCUAAGCACGAAACUUGCCCCGA